GGAAAAUUUCGUGACGUCGCGUGAAAUUCAUUUCAUUUUCCCCAACAUUUCCUUCCGGCUUCUUCGACACGUCUCCAGUUCAAUUCCCGUUUUCUCGAAUGCGUAUUUAAGCUCCUUUCCCUCCCCCUCUCUCCCUAUCUCCCACAUUCGAAAAAGAAGAACCCUACCAACUUCCGAACCCAUCUCUCUCGCUCUCGCUCUCGCUCUCUCCCUUCAUCUCUCUCUCUCUCUCUCUCUCUCUCUCUCUCCCUCUCAUCGCCUCUUCCUCCGUACCGUCCCUUCGUCGUCGCCGGAUCACCCCAACCGAUGGACCGGGUACGCAAAGCCCUUUCCGCCUUCGCCCUCCUCCUCCUCCUCGCUGGCGCAUGCACCGCCGCUCGGCCCGGUCCGACUGCGACCACGACGACGCUGCCCCUCCCGGUUCCUCCUCACGGCCCACGCCAUCAUCCCCACAAGACCGCCUUCCGCCACCGCGGCAGCAUCUUCAGCUACCUCCCCAAGAACUCGCCCGUGCAGCCUUCCGGCCCGUCCCCGAGGCACAACUCCGAGCUCAACUCCACGCCGGGGAACUGAACGGGUUGAAUCUUCGGGAAGCCCAUACAUUUCUCCGGAAUCCUCGCCGAAGGCCUGGUUCUUUCAUUCUGCUUCGUGGUAUCUGAUAAGAUGUUGUAUACGAAUACAUUUAUUUAUUUAUUUUUUGGCCGGAGAGCUUAGUCUAUGUAUACGUUUGGUCCAGCUCGACGGCUCGUCGCCGAUUAGGGACUGUAUAAUAGCGUCGACGGGAGUUGUUGGAUUAGCAUGUGUUUAAGCAUUCUUUCAUGACUUUUUAGGGUGAAGGCUGUUAUACGAUGUUACAUAUUACAUGAUAUACACGUUUGAUUGUUUGCAUAAGGAUUUGUCCGUGUAUCAUCUCGCUUUGCUGUCUCUCUCUCUCUCCCCGCGCCUUGUUGGCUUUUGACUUUGACAAUGGCGAAAGGCAG
This 980-nucleotide long non-coding RNA is filed under the name Eucalyptus grandis. RNAcentral's name for it is "long non-coding RNA (EGRA_LNC004396)". Lineage: Eukaryota; Viridiplantae; Streptophyta; Magnoliopsida; Myrtales; Myrtaceae. The record is from RNAcentral.